This 464-nucleotide ribosomal RNA is filed under the name Granulicatella adiacens. RNAcentral's name for it is "bacterial SSU rRNA". It matches the Rfam family "Bacterial small subunit ribosomal RNA", at positions 28 to 473 of the family's 1533-position model. Lineage: Bacteria; Bacillati; Bacillota; Bacilli; Lactobacillales; Carnobacteriaceae. The record is from RNAcentral.
GACGAACGCUGGCGGCGUGCCUAAUACAUGCAAGUCGAACGAGAGCGACUGGUGCUUGCACUGGUCAAUCUAGUGGCGAACGGGUGAGUAACACGUGGGUAACCUGCCCAUCAGAGGGGGAUAACAUCCGGAAACGGAUGCUAAAACCGCAUAGGUCUUCGAGCUGCAUGGCUUGAAGAGGAAAAGAGGCGCAAGCUUCUGCUGAUGGAUGGACCCGCGGUGCAUUAGCUAGUUGGUGAGGUAACGGCUCACCAAGGCCGUGAUGCAUAGCCGACCUGAGAGGGUGAUCGGCCACAUUGGGACUGAGACACGGCCCAAACUCCUACGGGAGGCAGCAGUAGGGAAUCUUCCGCAAUGGACGCAAGUCUGACGGAGCAACGCCGCGUGAGUGAAGAAGGUUUUCGGAUCGUAAAACUCUGUUGUUAGAGAAGAACAAGUGCUAGAGUAACUGCUAGCGCCUUGAC